RNAcentral lists this long non-coding RNA (10504 nucleotides) under Triticum aestivum (bread wheat). RNAcentral's name for it is "long non-coding RNA (TAES_LNC012709)". Lineage: Eukaryota; Viridiplantae; Streptophyta; Magnoliopsida; Poales; Poaceae. The record is from RNAcentral.
UCACGGUGGGUAGUAACAUAUGUGAUGUAUCAUGCAUCACUUUAUUAAUUAGGUUGUAGACUCAUCUAUUCUUGAUAUGUGUGAUAUUACAGUAACUAGCUAUGUUAUUACAUGCCUCUCUUUUUUUAUUAAUUACAUACCACAUCAUUUAUUUUGUCUAGAUAAGUGUGAUAUUAUCACCUAUGUUACUUUCAUUGUGGGUAGUUUUAGGGACCGUCUGGUUAUAGAGGUGGAAGGUGAAUACAAAACGGGUCAACCGGUCAAGGCAUCCACCUUUUGGAGAUCAUCUAUAUGUUUUGGUGGAAUAGCGGACAAGUUUCCAGUGCAUGUGUAUUUUCAGAAUAAUCCAUAGCGUUAGUGUGGCUGGAAAUUAUGGUCAAACUGGAGUUCACACUUCCAUGAUUUGGAAUGGGAAACUUCCAAUGGAGAAGCCACGUUUAACCCACGAUUCGCCCAUUCCUAUUGGUGAUUUAUGCAAAGCAAAAUAAUUUUGCUAAUGGAUUGAAUGGGCUGAAAGUGAAAGCCGACAAAAUGCUCUCAAAACCGAUUCACUUGAGUAUACAUAAUCCAUGGCAUUAGUAUGCCUGGAAACUAUGGUCAAACUGGCGUUCACACUUCUAUGAUUUGGAGAUGAGAAACUUUCAAUGGAGAAGCCACGUUUAACCAACGGGGUCCAUUGCUGCCGGUGGUUUAUGCAAACCAGAUAUUCCCUUCCGUUCAUAUUAAUUGUCACUAUUUUAGUAUAACUUUUACAGCAUAUGAUACAAGAUAGAUGUUUAUAUACAUGACCGACACUUACCCUUAUGGACAAAUGCACACACUUGACCCCUAAAAGCAUCUCCGAGAGGAUGAGCUGGUAAGAAAGUACGAACACCUAUGUAAAGUUUAUGACUUGAAUCCAAAUGGACUGGUUCUACCAUAAAAAACCUAACCAACCAAGCGUCAAACUAUUUUUGUUGAUAGAUCAACAUACAUAAGUCUCGAAGCAUUUAGAUGCAUCGGUCACGCACAAAGCCGCACAAGAUAUAGCCAAUAUGUUUCUUUUAAAGGAGGAUUACCCGUGAACUCUGGAUCAAAUUGAUGCAUGCAACCAUAUUAUUAAGUAAGGAGUCAACAUGUUUUAAUUUCAGUACAAGCUCACAAGUAGAGCUGAAAUGAAGAACGAACAAGAAGUGCCACAACAGGCAAAAAUAAAACAAGAUGACUAAAUACCUAUCCUAUUAUUGGAUCGUCAUCCAAACAUGUUGUAAGUAUCAUGUGCUACCGUCUUCCAACGAUUGCAACCAAAAGCCAUAUGCUCCUUGGCUUUUGCAUAGCUGAGUGACGACCACGUAUGGAUCCAAACAGUUGCUCUCUAGAUUUCACUGAGAAAACCCCCAACACUGAGACUUUUCAGUGAAGCGUAUCAGGCUCAUCAGAAAGGUUAACCUCCAUCAAUCUGCGCACAAGAUGUAGGGAACUAUCCCAUCUGUCCCCAUUAGGGACCUUCGGAACUAAUAAAGGGACCGACCCUAAUAUUGUACUUAUGAACGCUUCUUGCGCUAGGCGGUGUUGUAGAUGGAUGGAUAUUAUGUGGCUAGUGGUGUAUCCGCUAAUCAUGUAUCUUUUCAGAAUCUAGUCAUGGUGUCAUUCCCCACGAUAAAUUUUGUCUUAUUGAAAAAGGCUACUUUCAUCCUCAUCAGCCCCUUCCAGAACAGUGAAUCGUUCUGUUGUACCGUAACAUGUGCUAGGGUGUUGGAUUGCAAGUACUUACUACGCAAUAUUUGGACCCACAUUCCGUCGUCCUCGACAGAUAGCCUGUACAGCCAUUUACUGAGCAGGCACCUGUUUUUUACCUCUAGAUUCUCAGUCCCUAGCCUCCCUUAGUCCUUCAGCCUACAGAUUAUAUCCUACUUGGCCAACCUAUACUUGGUUUUAAUCUCGCCGCAUUGCCAGAAAAGCGUGCUCGAUAAAAGUCUAACAUUUUCCGUACCCCCACGGGUACUUCAAAGAAAGAUAAUACAAAUAUCGACAUGCUUGUAAGCACCGAAUUUAUCAGAAUCAACCUACCCCAUAAGACAUGAGCUUGCCCUUCCAGCAGCUUAGCUUCUUCUCAAAUCUAUUCUCAAUGCGCUUCCAUUCCUUGUUGGUCAAUUUUCGAUGAUGAAUUGGUAUUCCCAUAUAACUAAAUAGUAGAGAUCUCAAUUCACAUCCGAACAACUGUCUAUAAGUUUCUUGUUCUUCUUUGGCAUGCCCAAAAAAGAACGGUUCGCUCUUGUUGAAUUUGAUCUUACCCCGACAGUUAUUUGAAAAGACAUAGUACAAGUUUCAUAUUUCUAGCCUUUGCCGAAUCAUGUUCCAUGAGAAGAGUUGUAUCAUCGGCAUAUUGUAGUAUGGAGACACCAUCAUCAACAAGAUGAUGUACCAAUCCACCCACCUGGCCGUCCACUUUGGCCCGACCGAUAAGAACUACCAGCAUAUCUACCAAUAUUUACCUGAUCCAUACACUACACAACCAAAGAGAGAAAAUCCUUAACAAAAAAUAGAGAAGUGAUUAGACAAGACCAGCUCAAACAUGUAGGAAGCAUAAACACCAACCAACACGAAAGAGAGGGGCAAGGUGUCAAACACGGGACUGAAUAGACGGAAGGAAGCAGGCAGCAAGGCAAAAGAGGCCCUGCCAGGAGGAGUUGCUUUGGAGUUUGGAAACCGAAACUGCUGAACAGAAGGAUGUUUUCUUUACUUGGACUACUAAAGAAGGAGAAGGUGCAAAAUCUUAAUUGCAAAGUAGGUACUAACAAUCUGCUCCUAAAAGCUAAAGCAAUAAUGGCCUAGAUCCUCAGUAAACGGUACAAGUGCCCCCACUUCCCCGAUCACUGCAAGAUUCAAGCGUGCACUUGUUAUGUGCCCCUACAUGAUUCCUGCAUAAUGUAUUCCAGUUUAUCACAAUGUAAAGCAAUCCAGCCGGAAAAGGGACAGAACAGAUCAAUGGAAGUUUCUUCUUCCACCCAAUCAUCUUGUCCCCCGCCUUUACGGGCAACCCUCCAUGGAACAACCCAGGCAUCCACCCAUCAGCCCCAGAGCAAAAGGCCUAAGCAUANNNNNNNNNNNNNNNNNNNNNNNNNNNNNNNNNNNNNNNNNNNNNNNNNNNNNNNNNNNNNNNNNNNNNNNNNNNNNNNNNNNNNNNNNNNNNNNNNNNNNNNNNNNNNNNNNNNNNNNNNNNNNNNNNNNNNNNNNNNNNNNNNNNNNNNNNNNNNNNNNNNNNNNNNNNNNNNNNNNNNNNNNNNNNNNNNNNNNNNNNNNNNNNNNNNNNNNNNNNNNNNNNNNNNNNNNNNNNNNNNNNNNNNNNNNNNNNNNNNNNNNNNNNNNNNNNNNNNNNNNNNNNNNNNNNNNNNNNNNNNNCCUGGUGUCGUUGUCCCGGCAAAAGAUUCGCCGGGGAGCUUUUGUUUAGUCUGAUGCGCAUGUAUGGCUUAAUACAAGCUUUAGUCAACUUGAGAAGCCUGCCGUGGAAAGGAAUGCAGUAGAGUUUGUCUGAGUCCGCGCCACGGCGACGCGUCUAUGCUCACUCUUCGGUUACUGUCAUAGGCCCGUUCUCUAGAACUUGAACUCUUUCUUUUUUGACUAACUAGUGGAGUAAAACUUAACUCUUUUAUUUCUAAAGAAAGUUGAAGGGGGUUGAGAGGCUUGGAAUUAGACCUACCCCUAAAUAUUCCAAAAAAGUAAGUUUCUUUUGCUAAUUCACAAAUUAUUUUUGCAUAAAAAAUCCACAACAAAGAUAUUUUUCACAUUAUUGCAGAGAAAAUGGAAAGAACAAGGGAAAUGAAAAAUAAUUGCAUUUGGCCAUUUCGUUGAACCCCAUGCAUGUGUUGCCGGCCAGAGGCCGCACUACCUAGAGGGGGGCGUGAGGUUGCACGGCCUGAAGCUCCUCGGGUCGAGGGGGCGGGGGGUGAUAGGCAGCAGUGUGGCAAGGAAUGGGCUAGAACGACGUGGCCAAAGAAAUCAACAACAGCGAAGGUGGGGUUGGGGAAGGAAACUUCCUCCGACCUCUUUUUAGAGGGAAAGGAGGAGUAAAACCUGCUGCUCUACUAUAGGAACAACCCGCAAAAAGUUUGACAUGUAUGUUUUGUAUUAUAUAGUUAUUAAAAGGUUAUAGGCGAAGUGUGAGAUAUUUGUCGCUCCUAUAUUUUUAGCUUUUACAGAGUAAUAGAUUUUAGGAGAAGGGCUAGAGAUGCUUUGAGAAGUUUUAAGGGUGUCCCUAGCUGAACCCCUAAAAGGCUAACUCCUCAAAAGAUUUUGUUUUUAAGAGUUAAGCCACUCCUAGCUUUUAACUCCUCAAAAAGUUGAGGAGAACCCUCCGUCGGCUCUCAAAUUUGAGCGGCCACAACAAAUUCUCAACAAAAAUUCCUCCCAUGCGGUGCUUUCAUAUUGCUCGAUGCCCUUCACCCCGACGGGACUUUUCCCUGCCAACCACUUGGCACGCUCGUCGACACCCUGUCGUCCUCUCGGGCCAACUUAGAUUCGCUUGUCGGUGACGCCACUGCUGGAAUUACCCCAUAUCUACCAUGUCGUCGCUACGCUCUCAUUAACGAAAAAGGCCACCCUCGAGCUUGGUUUUGUGCACCCACGGAGGAUCUAGGCGGCACCAGACGUGCCUGCACUAGCGAAUUCUGAAAGCCGGAGUUUGACCGCGGUGAGCUUAGUCAGCCACCGGCGAGCACGGCUUGGAGGAGAUUCUUCCUCCUCAGAGCCUGCAGACCAUCCCACAACCCUCAUGUCCACCCAUAGCCUCGGUGUCACCUCAAUGUCGCCGGCCGAGGCUCUCACCUCAUCCGCCCGCAUAGCGUUGGAUGAAUUGCACAGGCAAGAUUUAUUUAUUUAUUUUGCUUUUUCAUUGUUCUUGCUGUUUGUUGCAAUCAAAUUCAACAUGGAAUAUUGUAUAGUGUAGAUGCAGUGGUUAAGGAAGAUGUUAUUUGAUGACUCUUCGUCCAAGGGGGGGGGGAACGAUGAUGAUUUUGAAAUGGCCAUUGUCGUGAUCGUCCAGGAGGACCUUCGGCGACCAAGACUAGGAUCAUAGUUCGAUCGCUCGUACAUCAAUUGAGGUAGAGCAGUGGGUUAUGCCAAGCUUAUGAAUGAUUACUUUGCGCCCAAUUCAACCUAUUUGGAGAAGUAUUUUCGGCGGCGAUUUUGGAUGCACCGAAGUCUCUUCAACACCAGUGCAAAAUUUAUUGUGGAGCAUGAUUCAGGGUUUAAACUGAGGAGGAGUGCAUCGAAAGAAAUAAGUGUGAUCCUUUUGAUGAAGUGUGUUGCAGAUGUUUGAGUACUUGCCUAUAGAUGAUCGACUGACAACAUUGAUGACUAUUUCCGCAUUGUGGAAGAUACAAUCCUAGAGGUCAUUCGAAGAUAAAUGCAAGUCAUGAUUGAGAUCUAUGGACCAGGGUACCAAGCACGACGUAUGUUUCCUCCUGGGCUUCUUCAGCAAUUACGUGGUUCAGACGAUCGAGCACGUUUCGGAGGACAUAGGUGAACCAUCGCCUUAGUCGAUGUUAGGCGAGGCAGCUUGGCUGCCCUCCAGGGUUCCUUGGAGCAAAUGUUGGUGGCGGGCUUUGAGCAUUGAAGUUGGCCUUGCCUCAUAAGUGGCGCCAGUGAAGGCAUUGGGGACACAAGAGAUCACUUCCAUUUGAUUGCAGGGUUGUUCCAGAGAGACCACCUUCAUCCUACACCUCCUACGAAUUGAUAAAACUUAGAGCAUCCGCUUUGGAAAUUUUUUUGUUGUCCUACAAAACUCUACGCUUAAAGGUCCAACAAAGUCUAUAAGAAUAAAUUUAUGUAGUAAACAUCAGGCUCUUUUUGGUGUCGUUGUCGGGGAGGUAAGUGCUUCAAGGUAUCUUCUUUAGAUCUUGCAAUUUUGUUUUUUACUUUCUUGUUUUUAUUGCACUACCUUGGUUUAAAAACAAAAUGAAAAUGAGUGCACUUGGUUAUCCUUACAAAGUUUAUCCUGAAAACAUUGAAUUUGAACCCAAAAAAUGAAGAUGUAUUUAAGGAAUAAUUUAAAGAGGUGAUUAAAUGUUAUUAGUAUGCUUUCCAUGAAUGUCAUUAAUGCUAAUGAUGGUUGCACUAGUCAUAAUAAAUUUCUGUGGAAAAGGUUAUAAGCGUGUCAAUUCUUGUGAAGAACAUAGACCUUGUGAAAGAAUGCAAAUUAGGAGUGACAAAUAUUGCAAGAAGCAUAGACAUGAUAGAGACUAGAGUGUGGCUUGAGAAUUUAGAUGAUUAUGCUAAAAAAAGUGUGCUCUUCAUCCCAUUACUUAUAAAUUAUGCAAUGCGUUGGUCAUCUUAAUUUCUAAUUUCCAAUGCAUAUAUUAUCAUGAUCGAAUCAUGGCCAAAUAUUGCGAUGACAUGAUCACCUUUGUAUCAUGAAGAUUUUUAGGGUGUGAAGAAUUAACACGUCAAAAUUGUUGGUUUGAAAAAUCCGUUCUCACAUAUUCAGUUAAAAAUAUUCUAAGGGAAAUCUUUAGGUAUUCUCACAUAUUCCUCCCUCCGCAUUUUCUGCAUCAUUCGAGCCUGGCUAAGGGAAACAAUCAAUUCGGUCGUUCCUAAUGAGAUGCUUUAAGAUUCAUGUUGUGCAUGCCAAACAGUUAAUACGGGCUAUCAAACGGACCACUUUUACACCGCACGGACCUAAUUGCGGGUAACCAAAUGCGCCAUUGACGCGAACCAACCGGUUAGAUGGUUAGGUGAAUAGUGGUAUCCCUAGCCCAUCAGGGUUCAAGUCUGAGACAUUUCUGUUGACUACGAGGCGCUCACGAUGACUUUAUAAAAUCUCAAGAUGAUAUGUCGACUCAGUCUCUCAGAGAUGCUCAUAUGGGUAGGAUGUGUGUGUGCGCGCGCGCGUUCAUUGAGGUGAGUAUAUGUGUAUAUAUGAGCGUUUGCGUUAUACUGUGUACAAACAAAGUCCCGAUUGUUUUGAUUUUUGAAAUGGGAUAUUUACGGAAUCCCAUUAAUAGGAUCAAACCUUAUUCCAUGAUAUUUUCAUAAGAUUCUUCUUCCUUCUAUUGAUUCUUUUCCGAUCAAAAUGUACGGAUCCAUGUAUCUACGUACAUAGAUUUUGUUCAUGGAUUAACGAAAAUGUUCAAUAGCUCUAUUUGCGUGUCAUUCUAUGAGUCGCUUCCUUUUUCGUAUCCCCACUCCCUUUGGUAACAUCUACUGAUUUUUUUAAGACAUAUUUCGACCCGGGCGUUUUUAAGAGGUUGUACUGAGACUGCUUUAAGGUUGAGGAACUGCCUUCUUCUGCUCCAUCUGAAGCUCUACAUAAGGGUAAGCUCGGACGGCCUGCUUGAAGAUGACGGCGUGGAGCAUGCAGCGACCGCUUGACGCCAUGAAACCAGACAUCAGCAUCCAACUCGGGAAGAUCUAGGAGGAGGAACUCACGGAUUGUUGUGGUGAUUGCCCUGGAGAGUGACGGUGGUGACAACAAACGACGGUACGCCACUGGUCAUUGCGCGGAUCUUGCAAGGGGGUUGUUUCUACGCUAGAUUAACCAAACAAUUUCCAUUUUUAGUUGAUACCAUUUACAGGACCAAAAUUUACGUUUGUGUUUCCUUUCCUAAAGGUUCUACAAGUACCCCAGUACCCCAGAGAAGUCGCCACAUGGCCUUGAAGAUAGUACGUUGACUAUGUUUCUUGGAAAAUUUGUGGCUCGCGAAGAAAUAAUUAUAUGAUUCAGGUGAUCAAUCUAUGGUUUUGAUUUGGUGUUUGUAAGUGUUGAUACAUUUCUCUACAAACUUGGUUAUAAAGUAUGUUUUUUGAAUAAUGCUAUAUAGAAUUUAAUUUGGCAAGGAGGGCGUAUAUUGUGUAAGCAUGUUUCAUGAUAUACCUAGUAAUACUAGUUUCCUAAUUUGUAUUCUAUGUAUGUCCAGAUGUUGUACGCAAGAAAGCAUAGCAUGUUUCACCCCUUUUAAUUUAGUUGAUCCAACUAAUGUUGAAAAAGUCACAAGAAAGAAAUGAAAGGAAAGGAGAAAACUAAUACCUUGACGAGCCUAUGCAGCUCCAUUUUUAUAUCUCAUAGAAGCAAUAUACCUAAUAUGCAUGCCAUCGUCUAUGUUGAAAACACUUGAAAAGAUUAAUGGUUGGUUCUUUGGCAUAUUAAAAUAAUAUAAGAGCACAAAAUAUUGCAUCACCUCCUUAUAAAGGGAGUAGAAUGAAGUAGAAUGAACCACAGGGGGGAGCAUAUUUUCUGCUAGGUCAGUUGACGAUAUAAGGAAAAAGUCAUGUUGUUGGAUAUUGCACUAUUAGGGGAGCAUGUGAAACCAGAGGCAAAAAGAUAUUGUUGUACCAAAUAGACCGUUCUGAUACACCAUUUUUUGGGGGGGAAUACGCUUAGCAGCAUAUCAUUUCAUUGAUAGAGGAGGAGAAAUAGAAGUUACAGGGAGUUACAGGGUGCACCCUCGCAGACGUACACAAGCCGGUGUCUGGGAGGGCGCAGCAAUGAGCAGAGGGAGAGGAUGCUCAGCCUCGAAGCAGGGGGUCAGGCUACAGGUAAGAUGCUAGCAAUCCCGGUGGCACCCGCCUUGGCCCAAAGGCGGGCAUCGUCCUUGAUGCUCUUGAUCAGGACCUCGGUGGAGGGGCGAAGGCCGUCGAAUAUGGCCGCAUAGCAAUGCUUCCAAAUUGCCCAGGCGGUCAGCGCGAUGAUGGAGUUGAGGCCUUUUCUCAAAGAGCCAGGGGAGGCCUCCGCGGCCGCGGUCCACCAUGCGAAGAAGCUCACGGUGUCAUCAAGCGGCGGGGCGACUAGACGGCACCAGGAGAGAAUCUCGUGCCAGGUGAUGCGAGAAAACACGCAGCCGGCGAGAAGGUGGUCGAUCGACUCCACCUCCUGGUCGCAGAGAAUGCAGGUAGGGUCGGUGGAUAGGCCGCGGCGCACACGCCGCUCUGCGGUCCAGCAUCGGUCGAGGUAAGCAAGCUAGAGGAAGACCUUGUUGUUAAGAGGGGCCCAGCUUUUCCAGAGAAGUUUCCAGCACGGCGGCGCGGUGAAGCCGUGGAACAGCGCGCGAUAGCAAGAGCUGGCGGUGUAGGAUCCGUUGGUUGUCCAGUUCCAGGUGAGGCGAUCGGGCUCAUCAGAGAGGACGACCAGCUGUAGCUUGCGCCACAAGCUUACGUACUCGAUGACUGCCUGGGGCCCGAGGGUGCCGUGGAUAUCCCCAAUCCACACACCAUUGGCGAGCCCAUCGCGGACCAGAGUGCAGCGGCGCCGGCGACGCGGUACAAGGGCGGUGAGGGUGGGGGCGAGCUCGGGAAUGGAAUAGCCAUCAAGUCAGUCUAAGCAUGAAAAUGAGCUAAACUAUGAUUCAUAGUUUUGAAAACAAAGAAAUGCCUUUUUCAAAACUGCUCUUAAACUAUGGGGAUUCUAAGAAAAUGUUCUGCAUGAGAAGUGAUGGCAUUAUCCAAGCUUGCCAACGCUUCUGACAAAAUACGCGUUAGUUCAAUGAUUGGGAUUAAUAUUUUGUUAACUACAUCAAACUGAUAGUGUUUGUGUAGUUCAAGGACGUCAUCAGGCGAAAGCUCCAUUGCACGCCAUGGGACUGAUGAUCGGGUGAGGAGGGAGUUGGCUCAAAUCGGUUCGGCAGUCGCUGACUGUGGGAGAGGUGGCGGAUGACGUAUAGAUGACGUAUGAUACCGAUCGGAUCCAGCGGAGCGACCUCCAUCCACACAUGGCCGGCAAUCAUCAUCCGUGAUUGAUUGGAUACAGGUGAGAUGCAAUGAUCGAAUACACCAGGCACGACCAGAAACAAUCAAAGGUCAAAAAAUGUGCUUCAUAUAUAGACCUUCAAAAGAAGUAACAUAAAGAGAAGUGCAGAAAAAACAAUAGGACCAUGGGCAAUGUAACCAAGAAUUUCCUCUUUUGCGUCUAUGUUCCAUGACCGUAAUCAUACAAAACUAAACCAGGUUCCGCAGUAAAAGUGGGAACCAACUUAAACCCUGCUCUCCAACCAUAUACUCAAACUCAUCACCACAGGGUGAUACAACUACUCUUUCGCUAGACAGACGUGUAACAAUCUCCAAACAGAGUGGAAACGACUGACAAGACAAAAACUUGAACAUACAACAAAACCAACGAAUAGACCAGCAUGGGACUCCCAAAACCCAGUUGCUUUUGAUGUUUAUAAGGUGUGCUCCAUACUCUUUCGACAAGUUAAUACAGCACAGAAACACUUCUGACAAAAACCGACACAACCAACAACCGUGAAAACCCUAUCUUUCAAGGUUCUUUUUACCUCACACAGAUAUAUCAAUAUAAUUUUGGUUCAAGCUAUAUUAGGAGGCAAAACCCGACUCUCCCGACAACACAUGCGGCUCUGGACGUCCUCUGGUGAGGCAGAACCCAAAUGAUCCGACCGGUUGACCUUGAAGACUGACCAUUGACCAAGCUGCACCACCGACGAUGCAGCCCAAGGACUGACCCUGCUUAGACUGACUUGACGACUGCUUGAGACCAGACCGACAGGACCCAACAAUGACUCGAACGACAAAGACC